This 293-nucleotide ribosomal RNA is filed under the name uncultured bacterium. RNAcentral's name for it is "partial 16S ribosomal RNA". It matches the Rfam family "Bacterial small subunit ribosomal RNA", at positions 775 to 1067 of the family's 1533-position model. The record is from RNAcentral.
GGAUUAGAUACCCUGGUAGUCCACGCCGUAAACGCUGUCUACUAGCUGUAUGAGACUUUACGUUUUGUGUAGCGAAGCUAACGCGCUAAGUAGACCGCCUGGGGAGUACGGCCGCAAGGUUAAAACUCAAAUGAAUUGACGGGGGCCCGCACAAGCGGUGGAGCAUGUGGUUUAAUUCGAUGCAACGCGAAGAACCUUACCAUCCCUUGACAUCCCAAGAACUUUCCAGAGAUGGAUUGGUGCCUUCGGGAACUUGGAGACAGGUGCUGCAUGGCUGUCGUCAGCUCGUGCCG